This 76-nucleotide transfer RNA is filed under the name Verrucomicrobiaceae bacterium. RNAcentral's name for it is "tRNA-Phe". It matches the Rfam family "tRNA". Rfam says of the family: Transfer RNA (tRNA) molecules are approximately 80 nucleotides in length. The record is from RNAcentral. Lineage: Bacteria; Pseudomonadati; Verrucomicrobiota; Verrucomicrobiia; Verrucomicrobiales; Verrucomicrobiaceae.
GGCUCAGUAGCUCAGUCGGUAGAGCAGCGGAUUGAAAAUCCGCGUGUCGGCGGUUCGAUUCCAUCCUGAGCCACCA